AAACAUCAAAGAUGGGAUUCGGAGGAUUGGGUGAGCCUCGUAUGCCUUGCUUCUCCAUCACUGGACGGAGAGCACUGGCCACCCAAUAGUAGCGCAUGAGGAAGCUGCACACCAUCCAUAGAACAGACAAUGCAAGCACGAGUGCGACAAGAAGAACCGAGAUGACAUCCAUUAUUGGUGAGGCAGAGCUGAGACGAGGGCCGUAGAGAAUUUAUACACCAGCAAGUA
RNAcentral lists this long non-coding RNA (228 nucleotides) under Selaginella moellendorffii. RNAcentral's name for it is "long non-coding RNA (SMOE_LNC000413)". Lineage: Eukaryota; Viridiplantae; Streptophyta; Lycopodiopsida; Selaginellales; Selaginellaceae. The record is from RNAcentral.